Molecule: transfer RNA, 73 nt
Filed under: bacterium
Lineage: Bacteria
Also listed under: 2 other names
Description: tRNA-Trp
Rfam family: tRNA
About the family: Transfer RNA (tRNA) molecules are approximately 80 nucleotides in length. Their secondary structure includes four short double-helical elements and three loops (D, anti-codon, and T loops).
Source: RNAcentral
AGGCCUGUAGCUCAAUUGGCAGAGCACCGGACUCCAAAUCCGGCGGCUGGGGGUUCGAGUCCCUCCAGGCCUG